CCUACGGGGGGCUGCAGUGGGGAAUAUUGGACAAUGGGCGAAAGCCUGAUCCAGCCAUGCCGCGUGUGUGAAGAAGGCCUUCGGGUUGUAAAGCACUUUCCGUGGGGAAGAAAGCCUUGGGGCUAAUACCCUCGAGGAAGGACAUCACCCACAGAAGAAGCACCGGCUAACUCCGUGCCAGCAGCCGCGGUAAUACGGAGGGUGCGAGCGUUAAUCGGAAUUACUGGGCGUAAAGCGCGCGUAGGCGGUCUGAUAAGCCGGUUGUGAAAGCCCCGGGCUCAACCUGGGAACGGCAUCCGGAACUGUCAGGCUAGAGUGCAGGAGAGGAAGGUAGAAUUCCCGGUGUAGCGGUGAAAUGCGUAGAGAUCGGGAGGAAUACCAGUGGCGAAGGCGGCCUUCUGGACUGACACUGACGCUGAGGUGCGAAAGCGUGGGUAGCAAACAGGAUUAGAUACCCCAGUAGUC
This 465-nucleotide ribosomal RNA is filed under the name Vreelandella stevensii. RNAcentral's name for it is "partial 16S ribosomal RNA". It matches the Rfam family "Bacterial small subunit ribosomal RNA", at positions 338 to 795 of the family's 1533-position model. Lineage: Bacteria; Pseudomonadati; Pseudomonadota; Gammaproteobacteria; Oceanospirillales; Halomonadaceae. The record is from RNAcentral.